This 73-nucleotide transfer RNA is filed under the name Camelus bactrianus (Bactrian camel). It matches the Rfam family "tRNA". Rfam says of the family: Transfer RNA (tRNA) molecules are approximately 80 nucleotides in length. The record is from Rfam by way of RNAcentral. RNAcentral also lists the same sequence under 2 other names. Lineage: Eukaryota; Metazoa; Chordata; Mammalia; Artiodactyla; Camelidae.
GAGGGUAUAGCUCAAAUGGUAGAGUGCAUGCUUAGCAUGCAUGAGGGCCUGGGUUCAAUCCCCAGUACCUCCU